This is a non-coding RNA of Myotis brandtii (Brandt's bat), 75 nucleotides long. The record is from Rfam. NCBI's taxonomy places the organism in Eukaryota, Metazoa, Chordata, Mammalia, Chiroptera, Vespertilionidae.
GGCGGUUCUUGGGUAAUGCACCUCAGAAUCAGGCUCCCUCCUCUCUGGUUCCGGGUGCAUCACCCAAGAACCACA